AUGGACACCCAAUUAGAAAGAUUGAUGCGUUUUUCAGUCGAAAAGACAAAGGAUUCCACUGAGCCAUUGGUGGUAUCAAAAGUGUUCACAGAAUACAGUAAUUACUACUAACCGUGAAAAUGAUGGAUCGUAUAACGUCUAUUAUGAUCGAUUUCACAAUCAUCUGGCACCGAAAAUGGCAAAACUUGAGGAAUACAGUAUCGUGGAGCGUGUUCGAGUGAUAUUUGGAUUCGCUGGAAAAGUUUCCAAUGAUUUUCUGAAGCAAAUUCGAAGAGAAGGAAUUGUUGAGCUCGAUAAGAAAAAACAAAUUUGUAAAUUUUCGUCGCAUGAUGGAAAGAUUCUUCUGAACAGCGACAUCCGCCAAGCUCUUCAAACCCUGCUCUCCGUAGUUUCCAACUAG
This 400-nucleotide unclassified non-coding RNA is filed under the name Caenorhabditis elegans. RNAcentral describes it as "Non-coding transcript of protein-coding gene T28A8.8b". Lineage: Eukaryota; Metazoa; Nematoda; Chromadorea; Rhabditida; Rhabditidae. The record is from RNAcentral.